Drosophila ficusphila is the source of this 1176-nucleotide long non-coding RNA. RefSeq lists it as uncharacterized. The record is from RefSeq and is a predicted model, not a curated record. The transcript is spliced from 3 exons. NCBI's taxonomy places the organism in Eukaryota, Metazoa, Arthropoda, Insecta, Diptera, Drosophilidae.
GUCAGUUAAGUUUUUUCACAUAAGUGUUGCCGAAUCAGGCCCAAAUUGGAAAAAGCGCUGGCAACCGUCAUUAUAGUUACCGUAGUGCACAAAAACAUUUUUAUUUGAUACUGCUAACAAUGCCAAGGAGAAAACGACCUGACCUGACCGCACUGAUGACCAGCGAGAGGCUGAUAAUGAUAACAGUGGUAGAAGUAAGGUAGAUUUACGUUCCAGAGUAAAUAACAAUGAAGUGGAUAGGCAGAGAAUGGAACGAGUUCGUGCACAUCGAUCACAACAGCAGACAGCACGGAAAAAUGAAUUCGAUCGAUUCCGCAGACGCAAUGCCCCUGAAAACCUGGAACGAGUAGCAUUUUCCUAUAACGAUUGGAGACAUGUCAAUCAUUUGUCAACAUUGUAAAGCAUUAAAAUACAGCGGCGAAUCUGCAGGAUUGUGUUGUGCUGGUGGCAAAGUAAAAUUGCCGCAAUUGGUUCCACCACUUGAGGCGUUACAGUCAUAAGUAAAUGGGAUGGAUAGUUCAUGCCCACUUUCGUGCACUUUCAGGAUACAAGGACGAAAUUAUCACCUACUGGGGGCACUGAUGCCAGUGCCAGAUGCGGAUCAUCAAUUCUUACAAGUUUAUUUUAUGGGCAAUCAAGAUGGGGAAGUUGAUACACGUUGUGCUCAUAAUCCAACCGUCAAGAGAACCAUUGUCCAACAACUGCAAACCUUUCUUCAUAAUAAUAAUCAAUUAGUGAGAAUAUUUAAAAUGGCCCUGGAGCACAUGCCAUCAGACAGCCAUAAUAUUGUAAUAUGAGCCGAAAAAACACUGGAUCCGGGCCACUACCCGCCGGACUUCUCCUACUCCUACAGCUCGUACCCCGUCGACUCGCACGAGGUGCUCUCCCACAAGGGAUCGCCGGAACUGUCGCCCAAGGCGCUCCUGGCGAAGAGCUUCCUCAUUCCGCUGGCCAGCGCCACCGUUCUGGGCAUCGCCGCCGCCCUGAUCAGCAAUCCCCUCCUGCUCCAGCUGGCUCCCGUUCCCGUUCCCGGUAUCGGAGUGGGCGUCGGAGUCGGACCUCCAGUGGUGGGCAAGCGGAGGAGGAGAAGACGAGCUGCGAAGGCACCCCGGGAAACCUAGAUCAGUGAUCUGUGUCAAAUUCUCUCCACUUGGAAAGUUUAUCAAUCAGGAAGUA